GUGAGUAAAGCACAUUUCUUCGUGUUACAGUGCAGGCUUUUGGAGCAAGCACAGGCCCAGAGGCCUAACUCAGGCAUUCCUUAGUUGAGGCUGUUCACUACACACAGAACACCCCGUGUAGAAACGCUGAUUCAGGGAAGUGCCCAGUGUGUAGCUCGUGUCUGUUUUCACUUGUUAGAAAGCACGUGUAAGUGUGCCGCUUGUCCACCUGGAAAUGGGGGCCUGACGGCAGAAGCCAUCUCGUCAGAGGUGUUGGGAGUGUGUAGAGGCCUUAUAUUCCUGUUGUGUGUCCUGCAGGCAUCCCAUGAAAGACCAGAAUCUAGGUCAACUUGGGCAAGCCACUUAAGUGAGCCUCAGCUUUCUUUAUUUGUAAGGUGGGCACCACAGCGCUUCCCUCCCGUAUGCAUGGCGAAAUCCUGGCAACAAACGUACACCAUGUGGCCCCACUUUGAAAUCUUUAAAGAGGUCUGCCAAUAAAAGUGUCUGUAGGUUGUACCUUCCCUGCAAUGCGACACCUGGUCCAAGGUGGAGAGGUUCAGGAGUGAGCAGUUUGCCCUUCACAUGAAUGGACAGAGCUCAGCCAGCGGCGUCCCUUCACUGAGAUCCUGGCUGCCGAGGUCCACACUUUCCAUGUAUCCAGGCUAGUUUCAGAUGGAGACUGAGAGGGAAAAUAGGCAGGUGUAAGGAUGCAAUCCUCAAAUCUUUGGCUUCAAAUAAUCCAUCCCAAACUGCUACCCGAGCCCCCCAGUAUCAAAAAGGAAACAUGUUAUAGACCCAGAAAAAUGUGUUUCCCAAAAGGCCUAGGUUUGCCCUCAUAGUCAUCAGUAUCUAAAAUAGAAGUAGCACUACACUUAAAAUCUUAAACUUCUAUGUAUAUAGGGACCAAAGGCAUUUUCAUCAGAAAGAAAAGGGAUUUAAUAAUGAAACCACAGACAGAUAAAUUGUUUUCAAGCCCCUGAUAAGAGAGGGGAGAAAUGUCAACUUCAUGGGAGUUGCAGAAUCAGCAGUUAGGAUUUUUGGAUGCCAACACUGGGGGAGAAGAGACUCCAGCCUGUACCCUCCCCGCCCACCCUCCGCAGUAUGCCUGGUUAGGAGGUGAGUCCUGCAGGCGCGGUGGCCCCUGGGCUGGCCGGAGCGGCAGGGUGAGUGCAGGGGUCCCUGAACAGAACAGUUUACCCUCCCUUCCCAGAGACACCUGGCAAUGUCUGGAGGGUGGGCUAGCGGCAGGUGGCCAGGGACGCUGCUAAACACACUGCAAUGCCCAGGACAAAGCCCACCACAGGGAACAAUUCAGCCCAGAAUGUCAGCAGUGCUGAGGGUGAGAAACCUAUGCACGUGGCAAUGCUGGCCUCCAGGAGGAGCUCAGGAGACAGCGCAACCCCUUUCCUGCCCACAAGGGGGCGAUGGUCCUCUCCUGUAGCUUGCUCCAAUUUAAGGGCCUUUUGCUGUCCGCUGCUGGUGAGUGACCCGGUGCCCUGGCUUUAGGAGUCGGGGCCUGAGGGCCUCGUUAGCUCCCCGAAUUCUGUGCACUCAGAGUGCGCUUUACCCCCACGCUCCCCGCUGUUGUAGAGCAGGGUCUGCAAAGCCAGGAGGAGGGAUUGCUGGAUUUGGCGCUAGCAGGCGUGGUCUUGGCGUCACUGGUAAUGCACAGGGUGGUAUCUGGGGUAGAAAGAGACGAAUCAGGCCGAUUAGCAGCGAGGUGGCGGCUGCUGUGCGGAGCGCCCCUGAGUCGCGAGGCUCCGGGACCCGCUGGUCAGCAGCAGAGGCGUGACGACGACGAAGCCUCACCCCGUGCCCCGCGGCCUGGGCCUUUCGGAGCUGCCCUCUUCAGAAGGCUCUCCCAGGCGCAGACCACCCCAUCCCCAAGCCCCAGCACGCUGGCCACUCCGCACUGGGCACCUAGGGGUAGUGCGGGGUGUGGUGUCCACGCCAGACUGACGUCCAGGUCAGAGGGGCUCAGCCUGAGGCUGAAAGGAGAUGGAUGGCUCAGUAGGUUAGUGGCGGUAUCUCUUGGGAGGGAAGCACAGGGAAUUUUUACUUCUCAGUUAUCUUCUGCAUUUUAAAAACUUCUGCCAUGAGUAUGCAUUUCUGUAACCAAAACCUUAUUAGAGUGGAAGCUUAGCGAGGCAGCUUUGCAAAAGGACCCUGCCUGACUCUUGACCCGCCUGUGUGCCUAAAUGCGCAUGCAGCUGCGGCUUGGUCAGCAGUGGUGACCUCCUGAAGCUAUUUACAACCUGUAAACGGUGUGUGCUCCUCCACGGGAUAUCUCAGUUCUCUGACUCUCAGGUUCUUCUUCUGUGGAGAAGAAGGGCAGAUAUGUUCUACAAAUGUCCACAGUUCCCCGUGGAGAAGGUACCUCUGGGCAUGAACAUGUGCUGGAGUGGCAUGAUGCUGGGGUCUGCCCCUCGCAGCUCAAUCUCAAAGACUCCAAGCAGAGCCACCUACUUUAUAUUUUUCUUCCCUUCUGAAGACAUUGGCUGGCACUUGGCCUUGGUCCAGGGUGUACGCCUUCUUCAACCUGUUGACUGCAGAGUCCUCACAUUGCUUUGGGCUUGGUCCAAGUCUGUGCUUGAGUGGAGGACGGGGCUUUGAGAGGGUCCACACGCCCCUCCUUCCCAGCCACGCACCUUCUUUUCCUUGCCAAGCUCUCCCUUCUCCUACUGUGACAACGAAGCAGCUGCUUCAACCUCUUCUGUAACCUGGGCUCUCUCAUCUGUCUUCAGUUUUUCCCGUGCUCAUAGCUGGAUAGAAACCUGCUGGGGGGUGUUUUUCAGACGAACUUGAGUAACUUGCCCUCGUAGAUUAGUUAAGAGCCUGUAGGUCUCGAAGGGAUUUGUGGAAAAGACCCAGCAGAGUCUGCGAGAACCCGAGGCGGCUGUGGCUGGAGCCAGGUGAGCCACAGGUUAGGGGCGUCUGGGCCUCAUCCUGUGUGAGGGUGGAUGCGCUACUGCUGUCCUCUGCCUCGGGCCCUCAUCUGUGAAAUGGGGGAACAGUGAGGACUGCCCUCCCGAGGUCGUCAUGAGGCUUAAUGUGUGAAUGCACUGACCACUCAGAGCAGCCCUCACCGCAGGGAGAGGUGUGUGUGUGUGUGUGUGUGUGUGUGUGUGUGUGUGAUUGCAGCCACCGGGCUUCGCUUUUCUCCACCAGCUCCUUCUUCACGGGGAAGCAAGGAGAGGCAUGGGAGGGAGGGAAGGAGAAGACUAGAAAAAGGAGGCAGAGGGAGGUCCCUGGGGAAGGGUUUCUGCCACUCAUGCAUGGGUGGCCUGGGCUCCAAACUUGGGGUUUUACACCAGGGCGUGUGAGCAAGGGGCGGCGGCCAGGGGCAGAGCAUUUGCAGACCGUGCGUAGGUCUGGACAGAGCAGGAAGACGCCAAGGCUCUGCCUCCUCCCAGCUGUCAAGGCCCGAGGCAACAGGUCACCCCUUCUGAGUCCCUGAGAAAUUGGGAGGUGCUAGUCCAAGGGCACAAAGUUUCAGUUAUGCCAGAUGAAAACAAGUUCUGGAGCUCUGCUGUAUAAUAUGGUGCUUGUAGUUAACAAUACUGUAUUGUGUGCUUAAAAUUUACUGAGGAUGGCUCCUAUCUUAAGUGUUCUUACCAUACACACAAAGAAUGAUGAUAAUAGGAAUAAUAAUAAAUAAAGGAAUGAAUAGGUCGGGAGGACACCUUUGGAGUGACACAUAUGUUUACGGUGUAGAUUGUGGUGAUGGUUUCAUGGGUGUAAUCUGUCUCCAUACUCACAAAGUUGCAUGUAUUAAUCAUGUACAGCUUUCUGUAUGUCAAUGAUACCUUCAUAACGUGGUUUAAAACAAUAAAAUGGGGGGGAAUAUAGUCACUCCAAGUACUGAGCACGUUGCCUGUCACAGUAAAUAAGGAAAUAAAUGUAAUUAUGGUUUAACCUUAGCUCAGGACUGAGAGUGGGUCCCACAGGUACUUGGCAGGUGGUGUCUGUGGCCAGCUCCUCCACCCUGGCUCAGCACUGCUUCUGUGAAGCACAAGGGCUCCCCAAACACAGAGACCAACUCCAGGUGCACACUCGUGACAGAGAAGGUGGGUUGGUCGCAGACACCUUGUUUUGGUUACUUGCUAUUCCUUCCUCCACACACCCUUUCAUUGUCCUGGUCCUUAACCUUUAACUCCUGUAAGAAGCAGGGUUUGCAGAUUUCUGAAGACAUUUUGCAGUGUGCAGACCUGUUUCACCUUUGUUCCCCAUCCUUGGGUCUGGAGAUAAAGGCGGGAAGACAGUACUCCAUGAAAGCAACAAUCACAAACCUCAGGUAUGCUCACCCUCAGGUGCCUCAGACUUCAAAGAAAUGGCAAACUAGGCAUCUCAUUUUAUACAUGGCCCUCUUUAAGUACACUUGUAUGUACAUAAAAUGAAAUUGUACUGAAAUAAAUCUUAUUGCUGAACGUUUGCUUUUCGGAAGACACUUUGGUGUAAAAGUUCCUAAGAAAAUUUGUUUUUUUAAAGGACCAAAAGUGGGGUGAGUGUUUCAUGGGUAAAGACCUUUUUCGUAACGAGUGAAGGUGAAAUGAGCAGACUGUGCAACUCAGAUUCCAGCUGCGUCCCCGUCACUACCCUCGGGAGUGUGCCGGAAGGACCCCAGAGAGCUGGCCCACUGCGAUGAGCUUACAGCCUUGGGGCCCCAAACUGGAAGGAUGGUCAGCAUUCCUGGUGCUCUGGGUUCAGCAAGACCUGACUGAGGGACUCUCUUUUCUGGUUGUUGGCUGAGUAUGUAAUGUCCACUCUGGGUCAUCUAAGGGCCGAGACCAAGUACUCUGUUCCUGCUGUGACCCGUGCUUCUGCUACCACGUGCUGCACAAGAGGUGGAAAGUAGGAACUGCAGCCCAGCAAGCCACGGACCCAGGCAAUGCUAAAACUGCAAAGUCACCUGUGUUGAUUCCAGCCAGCUUUUAGUAAGUAAAUCCGUGACUCUUGUAAGAAGAGAUUUCAGAAGAUGUGUACCUUCUACAGAAUUCACAUUUAGUGAGGGGCGUGUGAAAAGGUAUACACAAUUUUAAUCUUUUUAUUUUACUAAUAGCGUAUCUUAAUGAUUGAAAAAUAGAAAUUCCUGUAAAUAAAAAGAAAACCAGAAAGUACUCAUACUUUACACACCUAGUGUUCACGAUCUAAUGGGCCUGCUUCCCCUUCCCCUCUCUCUUCUAUCUGAGCCUCCACGAUGGACGGGACUCACCUGGUACAAGUGACGCGGGGUCGAGCUGGACUGUUGGUUUUCUGCUCCGCCUCUGCUUCCUCUCCGCAUCCUGGACUCUAAAGAAGAUGAAUGAAAUGUCUGCUCUGGUUGCUGGCUGUUUCAUCUCCAACUUAACCUCAGUCUGUGGUUGUGGAGGGCCUCAGAAGUCAGGAAGGUCCCCCGCCGCCAACAUGGGGAGGGUGGGGCCGGACCCAGGUUCCAGCCCAGCCCUGACACGCAGUGCGCUCAGUGGGACAUGUUGGCAUGCAUGCAAGGCUGUAGCGCUGCCAGCCCCCAUAUGCUGCCUUCUUGAGGGCUGGCGGUGCCCUUCAGGACUGGCUGCAUCUUUCGUCCCAUUUGAGUGGGCAGUAGUAGAUAAUAAAAUCUCAGAAUAUCCCUUGACCCGUGACCAUCCAGGCAGGCAUCUGUGGUCCUCCAGCUCAGGCCUGCCUGGGCCCUGUCAAGCCCCUGUGGCCAAUCACUGAGCUGACCUUGCUGCUGGGCAAUUGAACAGCUACCUGGGCAGCGUAGACGGCCCCUUGGGAAGUUUCAGUUCCCUACAUCCAUGUGAUUGAGAAAAGGGCUUCCUCCCUCAUAGCCUCUCAGCCUUCUGAGAGGAAAUAACCCUGCAGACAUUGAGUGUGGCCCUGGCCACAAGCAGCAUACAGCAGACCGUGGCCCUGCAAUCCUCUGGCCUUCGGGUUGUUGCAAACCUUUGACAUUCAUACUCAUUGAAAAUCAAAGGUAUGGGAGCAAGUGGCUUCCCAGCUGGUGUUCGCACUCUGAGGCCACGUGGUCUCCAGGAGCCACGUGCAUCCGGGCCCAGUCCCUGCGGCCUCCGGAAAGCCAGCCGACUGUGGAUUCCACGGUACAGGAUCAUCCUCGAGACACUGCUCCGCUGAGUAACAGUUCCCUUACCACCUACCGUUUGGUUUCUGUUCUCUGUAAAGGAGAGAGCAGAGACUGGGAAAUGAGCAAAUGUGUUCUGUGGAGAUGGGUAAUUAAUAUAGUCAGAGGGCAGGUGUGACUCCUGGGCUCCCACCUCCCAGGGACACAAAUGAAGUCUGUGUGCCUUUUGAGGUAUACUGGCAAUCAGGGCCAGCCUCUGAUAUGAGGCCCCGAUGCCCAAAGCAAGAGUCUUGAGUUUACCACCAACAGCGAAGUUGCUAUUUUAGCUAGUGGAAGAGCUUCCUGCCAUCAAGGGAGGACAACAAGAGCCCUGGAUGGGUGACCACAGUCACUGACCUUAACUGAACCUCUUCUUUUCUGUUAAAAUGGACAUUGAGUGGGUGUCGCCUGCAGUUUCUGGAAGCCCUGGAUGCAGUGAGAGAGACUUUUCCUGUGAAUGGGGCCACCCAAAGGCAUUUAGCAGGACAAAGGAUUGGAGGGAGACCAGAUCACACUGCAAGAGAGUGAGCCACCAGAACUGCCAGGUCCAAAUCCACUCUUAAACCUGUCUCUUGCAGUUAUUAAUUUAUUUCUAUCGUUUAAAAAUAAUGUUUUAUUUUACUUUAGUAAGUGUGUCCAGUCCAUUGGAAUCAAAAAAGUCAUAGCUGAUACAUCAGAACGAAUAAUCCCUGAGACUCCCUUGGGUGCCCUACUGGAUGGGGCAUGGCUGGGCGAGAUGAAGACACUGAGUAGGGUCCGAACUUAGGGGAACUGCCAGACUGCUGUGUCUCUGUUCCUUCCCUGUCCCAGGAGAGCGAAAUCCCGGAACAAUGGAAGGACAAGCAAAAUGGGGAAGAGGUCUUUUGGUGGCUUAACUGUUCUGUUUGUAUUUUCCUUUGUUAUGUUCCGUUUUGUUAAUGUGUGUUUUUACUAGGAAGUUACCCAUUUUCUCUAGAUUUCUAGUGUGACACAAUAGGUUUCUCAUUCUAGUUUUCAACCGAAUUGUCACUUAUUAACUGACAUCCAUAUUUCAUUUGGGUUUCCUUCAUUCUAACUUUUUGUCUUCCAGGAUGCCAUCCAGUGUAUCAUGUGACAUUUAGUCAUCAUGUCUGUUUAGACUCUUCUGGGCUUUCACAGUUUCUGAGACUGUCCUUGUUUCUAUGACCUUGACAUUGGUGAGUAGUACUGGUCAGAUAUUUUGUUGACUGUCCCGCUUUGGAAUUUACUUGGUGUUUUUCUCAGGAUUAGGCUUGAGUUAUGGGUUUUAAGUAAGCAGAUCACAGAGGUAAAGUGCUUUCUCAUCACUUUAUAUCAAGGGAACAGGCUCUCAAGGCAACUUAUCACUGUUACUAUUAACUUUGGUCACCUGGCUGAGGUAGUUUGUCAGAUUUCCCCACAAUAAAGUUAAGUUUUUCCCAUUUCCGUGCUGUGUGUCUUCUUUAGGAGGAAGCUACUUUGGGAACCAGCACUUAUGGAGACAGGAGUUAUCUCCACCUCCACAAUCCAUGGAUGGCUGAGUGUCCACAUCAAUUAUUUAGACUUCCACAUAGGAGAUUUCUAUUCAACCUUAUUGAUCAAAACAAACAAACAAACAAACAAACAAACAAAACCCUAUGCAGUUACUUAUUUUUACCAGCAUGGACACCUGUGGACAGUUUUUGUUUGUUUGUUUUUCUUUGUUUUUUUAACUUUUUGUUAUAAUCCAGCAGUCCAGAUUUUGUUGCUAAGUUCAUUCCUACUUUGGCUAUUGAGAGCUCUUUCCAUUGGCUCCUGUUUUCCUUUGACAUCAUUCCACCCUGUGGACUUUUUUUUCUUGAUACUUCCUUAUUUUCUGAUAUAAGAUUCAAGAUUGGGGCUUCCCUGGUGGCGCAGUGGUUGAGAAUCCGCCUGCCAAUGCAGGGGACACAGGUUCGAGCCCUGGUCUAGGAAGAUCCCAUAUGCCGCGGAGCAACUAGGCCCGUGAGCCACAAUUACUGAGCCUGUGCGUCUGGAGCCUGCGCUCCACAACAGGAAAGGCUGCGAUGGUGAGAGGCCCGCGCACCGCGAUGAAGAGUGGCCCCCGCUCGCUGCAACUAGAGAAAGCCCUCGCACAGAAACGAAGA
Long non-coding RNA from Balaenoptera acutorostrata (minke whale), 8181 nucleotides. RefSeq lists it as uncharacterized. Lineage: Eukaryota; Metazoa; Chordata; Mammalia; Artiodactyla; Balaenopteridae. The record is from RefSeq and is a predicted model, not a curated record. The transcript has 3 exons.